UCGUAAUAGUUCGAUUAAUUUAUUAAUGUUGAUUUAAUGACGAUUACAAAAAAUUCAAACACAUUAAUAAGUUCAAAUGAAAGGUGUAAACUCACAAAUAAGGAUACGUGGUCAUCAAAAGCAUAAUAAGACCCUUUUCCUUACUCUCCUGACAAAUUAAUACAAAAAUCAAUUAAUUUAGACACUUGACAAAAUACAAAAUCAGUUAAUCUAAACACUUGACAAAAUACAAAAUCAAACAAAAACAGCUGAAAAAUAUCCAAAAAUAAAAACAACCAAAAUCGAAAACAAAAUCCGAAACAAGUAGAGUCUAUUACUCGAAAGAAAGAAAUUGCGGGAGAAAAAUCGUGGUCGUCGGCCGUUGUCUGCGCCAGGUGACCCGCCUCCGCAGUGCCGUUGUGAUUUAUGCAAAUGGGCAGGUCGCUGAAUGCUGACCUGCAUAUACCCCGCGUAUGACGCCAAAGCUAUUCAUUUUGGAAGAUUUCGACGAUUUGUGACCAGCAGUAUUAUCAGUGUCAUGGCGCAACCGCUGCUUGUCGUCCUGGAUGUGCAUCUCUUCGUCGUCGCUUUCCUCCAAGGACAGGUCCAUGACCUAACGUGCAAGGAGGUUGGAUGGCAGAUCUGAGCUGAUGGGCGGUGGAAGCGCGAGUGGAAGCGGCAGAUCUGAGCUGACGGGCGAUGGAGAUGGCGAGUGGAAUCGGCGGAUCUGGGCCGGCGGGCGAUGGAGGUGGCGAGUGGAGGCGGCGGACCGAGUUGCUGGGCAAUGGAGGCGCCGAACCGUGCUGCUGGGCGAGUGAAAACGGCGAGAAUUGGUUCCGUGGGAUUGAUCGAGCUACAGUAUUAGUUCGAGAGUUCUUCACACUGUCAUAUUAAAUCGCAAAUGAAACUUCCUGAAAAUCUCAUAAUCUGUAAGACGUGUAAUUCCAAACGACGCAUUCGAUUUCAACACAUGACCAUUUGCACCUGUCUCUCUUCCGUCAAAUGUUGUGAGUGUCGG
This 997-nucleotide long non-coding RNA is filed under the name Linum usitatissimum (flax). Its description in RNAcentral is "long non-coding RNA (LUSI_LNC004148)". The record is from RNAcentral. Lineage: Eukaryota; Viridiplantae; Streptophyta; Magnoliopsida; Malpighiales; Linaceae.